AGUAGAGAGGAGACAUUGCUGGAACUGGCAGUAGAGGAGAAGAUUGGCGAUUAUUCGUUAUGGUAUUAGGCUGAAUUCGUUUCCCCUGGUCGUUGUCUUUGAAUUCGGAUAUUCUUCACUUUCCUGCUUGGAGUAAAAAAGAGAGGAAAGUCCUGUAUAGAUCAUUAGCGACAUCUACAAAGAUGGAUGAGGACCAAAGUCACAUGACCAAGAGGAUAUUAGAGCUUACCCUGGAGAUAAUCCACCUGCUGACCGGAGAGAACUAUGAAGUAGUGAAUAAAACCUCUGGAGAGCAGGCAACAACCAGCAUUCAUCCCCAUGGGUUAUGUCCCGUCACGGUGCCUCAACUCAACUCCUCAGAAAGACACAACAUGCAGAAGAUUCUAGAAGUCACCAAGAAGAUGAUGGAGCUGCUGACAGG
This is a long non-coding RNA of Rana temporaria (common frog), 421 nucleotides long. RefSeq lists it as uncharacterized. Lineage: Eukaryota; Metazoa; Chordata; Amphibia; Anura; Ranidae. The transcript has 4 exons. The record is from RefSeq and is a predicted model, not a curated record.